CUCAGGCGGCCCGUUCUCCGCCCGUGAUUGUGCCGGGUCCCCAAUCCCAUUCGCCCAUGCCGCGGCCACGCCGCCCUGGGGGGCUAUGGAUCAUAUUGGAGCCACCGCCUCUAGUCUCUCGGCGGCCGUCAGGACGCGAUUGGUCCGCGGAGAGCAGAGAGGCGGAAAACCCGGGCUGGAUUUCUGGUGGCUUUUGUUCCCGCAAAUUUACGUGGAGCAUUGUUUUUGGGCGAAAACGGGGCCUUCGGCCUUCCUGCUUUAUUCCUGAGCGGUGUAAGAGGGAGGUAGUGGGUAUCUUCGAGAAACGGCCGCCGCGGGGUCCGGAGCCCCGGGUUCCAAUCCCGGGUCGGCCACUGCUAAGCUGUGUGACCUUGGGAUAUGAUCCAAGGUGCUGAAAACUUCCUAACAAAACUCUUCAGCCGAAUCUGGCACGCCUAUGGUUCCAGCUACUGGGUAGACUGAGGCAGGAGGAUCGCUUGAGGCCAAGAGUUCAAGGCCAACCUGGGCAACAUGGUGAGACCCCCCCCUCCCCCCCAGUCUCUCCAAAACAAACAAACCCCACAUUCUCCAGUCUUAGGUCUUCAAGGAUGAACAGACAUUGCAGAAAGGCACGGUUGGGAACAGAAAAAAAUGAUCUCCACUCCCCCAGCCCCCUCCACACCUUGGGCACAUUUCCCUGGAGCCGCCCGAGUGUUCUUUGUCAGUGUAGGAAGAAGCAAAAAUCUAAAUGGAGUCAGGAUGGCCUCCCACAUGGGCACAAGGACAAGGCUGGGGACAGUUGGGUCUCCUCAUCUUAUUUCCCAGGUCUAGGCUGAUUUCUAUUAAUAAUUAAAUUAAUCGUUGUUCUCCUGGACCUCACUUCUUAAUGUGAUUCCAGGAAACUGGCCACAUUCCAAAAUUCAUAAUCUAAGGUAGUGAAAUAACGUGAGCAUCAAGACAGUUUGGCUGGGCUCAGAGGCUCACAUCUGUAAUCCCAGUACUUUGGGAGGCCGAGGGUAGAUCCCUUGAGCCCAGGAGUUCGAGACCAGCCUGGGCAACAUGGCGAAAUCCCAUCUCUACAAAAAAUACAAAAAUUAGCCAGAUGUGGUGGCAUGUGCCUGUAGUCCCAGUUACUUGGGAGACUGCGGUGGAAGGAUUGCCUGAGCCCAGGAAAGGGAGGUUGCGGUGAAUGGGGAUCCCACCACUGCACUCCAGCCUGGGUGACAGCGUAAGACUCUGUCUCAAAAACAAAAGAUUCAUUUCUUAUUGAUAAAGCAAGCUCCUUGGAGAAAGAUCUUGGAACCUCAUUGGGAGUGGAGGUGGGGCUUCUUCAAUCCAGCCGAGCUGGCUGUGAAACCCCCAGGGUUUGGUACCAAGUGAGCUCCAGUCCCAGCUGUGGCUGACUGUGUGAACUUGGCUAUGCAUUCAAGGGCCUCUGAGCCUCAGUUUCCUCAUCUGUAGAAGAGAGCCAGGAACCCGUCAUCCUGGCUAGCAGUGGAAGUCAAAGGUGCUCAUGGAAAGAAUGUCCUUGCUGGCUGGAACAAGGGAGGCCUGAGCUGUGGAAGUCCUUGGAUCAAGGUCCUCCCCACUUCCCGCUGCCUUUUUGGUCCUUCUUGCGUGCUCUUUGUGAUUUAAUGGCUUAGUAGGUUGAAUCAUGUCCCCCCAAAGUUUAUCUCUACCCCAAAUCUCAGAAUGUGACCUUAUUUGGAAAAAGAGUCUUUGCAGAUAAUUAAGGUAAGAGUCAAGAUAAAAUCACACUGAAUUAUGGUGAGCCCUACAUGCAAUGAGACAGUCCUUACAAGAUACAGAAAAGAACACAUAGAGACUUCGGGGGAAAGGAGACUAUGUGCAAGGAUGGCAGAGAUUGGAGCCGAGGGGUGCCUGGGCCUACCAGAGGCUGCAAGAGACAGGGAGGACCCUCCCCUAGAGCCUCCAGGGGGAACAGCCCUGCCCACACCUUGACUUUGGACUCCUGGCCUCCAGAACUGUGAGAGGGGCAGCCAGGGAAACCGAAACAAUGUCAUUUCCCCCCAGAAGUCGGCGUGGCUCAGCUCAGUCCAGUUCACAACAAAUAUGAAAUCCCUGCCCUACAGGACCAGGCCUCAGGAAGGGCUUGGGGGCCUCAGAGGCAAAUGAGACCAGGUCCAUCAACCAUACAGAACUGACAACCUGGACUCCCCACUCUGAAGUAGGCAGACUGCCUGAGGGAGGGGGCCUCCCUCAUGGGGAGAGGGCAGGCGCUGACCUCCCGGGCCCUCCAGCAUUCUCUGGGUCCUGGCCCCGAGAUUCUGGUUUUCCACACAGGGCACCUACUGUCUCACCCUUCCCUGACUCUGCCCGUGCACAAGGUGACCCCGGCUGCAAGCGUGCCAGGAGCUUUUCUCCACCUCUGCCUCAACAUCUGCCGCCUCUCCUCCUCUGGAGAGGGAGGCAGCUGAAGGACACCAGCCCCACGCCUUGCUGGAGCAGCUGAGAUCGCUGGGAGGAGACCUAGGACCCUACGAGAGGAGGGAUCUGGAGGCCAGGACAGGAGCAGGACAACACAAACAGAGGCCUCAGAAGAAGACUCAGAGUGGGACAGGGGUUCCUUAAGUGACGGGGGCUGGAAGUGCACAGAGAAGCCUGGUGCAGCAGGGAAUUUUCUCUCCCUGGGGUGCUGCCAAGGCAAAGGUGUCUGUUGCUUGCCAGCUUUUCCAGCCAUGACUGCAGACAAAGUCCACCUAGAGUCAUAAAUGGGCAAUCAGCCCCGAACAACGUCCAGCCCCGGUUUCUGCACGGCGAGGCGUUUUUGUCCGUGGCAGACCUGCUUACCCGGGUGUCUUUGGUGUGGGGCUAGAUGCAGCAUUUCCCCAGUGGGAAUGGCCUGGGGUCUUAUUUAAAGUGGAGGGUCCUAGGCCUGGCCCCACGUAUGGAGUCAGGAUCCCUAGGGGUAGGACCUUGGAAUCCGCAUUUUUUUUGAGACAGGGUCUCACUCUGUCACCCAGGCAGUGGCACGAUCUCAGCUCUCUGAAACCUCCACCUCCUGGUUCAAGCGAUUCUCCUGCCUCGGCCUCCUGAGUAGCUGGUAUUACAGGCACGCACCACCAUGCCUGGCUAAUUUUCUAUGUUUUUAGUAGAGAUGGGGUUUCAUCAUGUUGGCCAGGCUGGUCUCCAACUCCUGACCUCAAGCCAUACACUGGCCUCGGCCUCCCUAAGUGCUGGGAUUACAGGUACGAGCCACCGUGCCUGGCCAGGAAUCUGCAUUUUUGCUAGUAACCCUGGUCAUCUCAGUGCACACCAAAGUUUGAAACCACUGUUGGGGUGUGGAGUUCUUGCUUCCAGACUUCCAGGGCCUAUGGAUUGAACAACAGCAGCCACAGUAGUAAUUAGAAUUUUCAGUCUGAACCACAAGCCUGCCAUGCAACAAGGGUUUCCUCCCGUUUUACAGAUGAGGGACCUGAGGCUUCAUAAGGCUGUUAUUGACCUGAGGUCGCACAGCUGAUGGCUCCUGGGUUCUUAGCGUUAAGUUUUGCAGCCUUAUUUCUGUUGUAUAUUUGUUUCUCAUCUUUCUGUGUUUAUUGCACUGCAAUUGUGAUAUCCUCUAAAAGCCAAGGAUGAACUCACUGCUGACCUUGGUUUUAUUCGUUUGUUUAUUUUCACCUUUUCUUGUGAAAUGUGCAAACAUACUCAAAAGUCAAGAGAAUCAUAUGGUGAUUUCUCAUAGUCCCCUUUGGCCAGCUUCAGCAAAGAUGACAUUUUGCCACUCUUAUUCCAUCCAUUUCUGUCACGCCACCCCUGACAUACACACAUGUUCUUUCUGGAGUAUUUUCAAGCAAAUACAGGAUUUUUAAAAACAUGUAAA
This 3820-nucleotide long non-coding RNA is filed under the name Homo sapiens (human). RNAcentral's name for it is "HSALNT0217242". The record is from RNAcentral. Lineage: Eukaryota; Metazoa; Chordata; Mammalia; Primates; Hominidae.